Lepisosteus oculatus (spotted gar) is the source of this 126-nucleotide ribosomal RNA. The record is from Ensembl. Lineage: Eukaryota; Metazoa; Chordata; Actinopteri; Semionotiformes; Lepisosteidae.
GCCAGCAGCCAUAUCACUCUGCAACUCACAACUCACAACUGGUAACCCACUGAAGCUAAGUAGGUGUGAGCCUGGUCAGCACCUGGAUGAGAGACCUCUUGGGAAAAACUAAGCUUGCUGCUGGAA